AUACGGAGGAUCCGAGCGUUAUCCGGAUUUAUUGGGUUUAAAGGGUGCGCAGGCGGCCAUUUAAGUCAGCGGUUAAAUCGUGGGGCUCAACCCCAUUCUGCCGUUGAUACUGGGUGGCUUGAUUGCGGUCGAGGUUGGCGGAAUUCGUUGUGUAGCGGUGAAAUGCAUAGAUAUGACGAAGAACACCGAUUGCGUAGGCAGCUGGCCAGACCGCAAAUGACGCUCAUGCACGAAAGUGCCGGGAUCGAACAGGAUUAGAGACCCUGGUAGUCCGCACAGUAAACGAUGAAUACUUGUUUUCGGCGAUAUAAUGUCGGAGGCAAAGCGAAAGCGAUAAGUAUUCCACCUGGGGAGUACGCCGGCAACGGUGAAACUCAAAUGAAUUGACGGG
Molecule: ribosomal RNA, 391 nt
Filed under: uncultured bacterium
Lineage: Bacteria
Description: partial 16S ribosomal RNA
Rfam family: Bacterial small subunit ribosomal RNA
Source: RNAcentral